GACGAACGCUGGCGGCGUGCUUAACACAUGCAAGUCGAACGGAAAGGCCCCUUUGGGGGUACUCGAGUGGCGAACGGGUGAGUAACACGUGAGUAACCUGCCCUUGACUUCGGGAUAACUUCAGGAAACUGGGGCUAAUACCGGAUAGGAAUCCUUGCUGCAUGGUGGGGGUUGGAAAGCUUCGGCGGUUUUGGAUGGACUCGCGGCUUAUCAGCUUGUUGGUGGGGUAGUGGCUUACCAAGGCUUUGACGGGUAGCCGGCCUGAGAGGGCGACCGGCCACCUUGGGACUGAGAUACGGCCCAGACUCCUACGGGAGGAAGAAGUGGGGAAUAUUGCACAAUGGGAGGACGCCUGAUGCAGCAACGCCGCGUGCGGGAUGACGGCCUUCGGGUUGUAAACCGCGUUCAGCAGGGGCGAAGCUUGUGGUGACGGUACCUGCAGAAGAAGCACCGGCUAACUACGUG
Molecule: ribosomal RNA, 465 nt
Filed under: uncultured bacterium
Lineage: Bacteria
Description: partial 16S ribosomal RNA
Rfam family: Bacterial small subunit ribosomal RNA
Source: RNAcentral